RNAcentral lists this ribosomal RNA (477 nucleotides) under uncultured organism. RNAcentral describes it as "partial 16S ribosomal RNA". It matches the Rfam family "Bacterial small subunit ribosomal RNA", at positions 330 to 798 of the family's 1533-position model. The record is from RNAcentral.
CGUACACUCCUGCGGGAGGCAGCAGUGGGGAAUAUUGCACAAUGGGCGCAAGCCUGAUGCAGCCAUGCCGCGUGUAUGAAGAAGGCCUUCGGGUUGUAAAGUACUUUCAGCGGGGAGGAAGGCGAUAAGGUUAAUAACCUUGUUGAUUGACGUUACCCGCAGAAGAAGCACCGGCUAACUCCGUGCCAGCAGCCGCGGUAAUACGGAGGGUGCAAGCGUUAAUCGGAAUUACUGGGCGUAAAGCGCACGCAGGCGGUCUGUCAAGUCGGAUGUGAAAUCCCCGGGCUCAACCUGGGAACUGCAUUCGAAACUGGCAGGCUAGAGUCUUGUAGAGGGGGGUAGAAUUCCAGGUGUAGCGGUGAAAUGCGUAGAGAUCUGGAGGAAUACCGGUGGCGAAGGCGGCCCCCUGGACAAAGACUGACGCUCAGGUGCGAAAGCGUGGGGAGCAAACAGGAUUAGAAACCCGUGUAGUCCCAU